Molecule: ribosomal RNA, 327 nt
Filed under: uncultured bacterium
Lineage: Bacteria
Description: bacterial SSU rRNA
Rfam family: Bacterial small subunit ribosomal RNA
Source: RNAcentral
ACAGAUCGUUCUAGAGUUUGAUCCUGGCUCAGGAUGAACGCUAGCGGCAGGCUUAAUACAUGCAAGGCGAAGGGGCAGCAAUGUCACUGUCGUACGGGUGCGUAACGCGUAUGCAACCUACCUAUCACUGGGGGAUAGCCCGGGGAAACCCGGAUUAAUACCGCAUAACACAGGGGCUCCUCAUGGAGAUAUUUGUUAAAGAUUUAUCGGUGGUAGAUGGGCAUGCGUUCGAUUAGCUAGUUGGUGCAGGUAACGGCUCACCAAGGCGACGAUCGAUAGGGGAGCUGAGAGGUUGAUCCCCCACACGGGCACUGAGAUACGGGCCCG